UUCCUACGGGGGGCAGCAGUGGGGAAUAUUGGGCAAUGGGCGAAAGCCUGACCCAGCAACGCCGCGUGAAGGAAGAAGGCUUUCGGGUUGUAAACUUCUUUUACCAGGGACGAAGGACGUGACGGUACCUGGAGAAAAGGCUCCGGCUAACUACGUGCCAGCAGCCGCGGUAAUACGUAGGGAGCAAGCGUUGUCCGGAUUUACUGGGUGUAAAGGGCGUGUAGGCGGAGACGCAAGUCAGGAGUGAAAUCCCCGGGCUCAACCCGGGAACUGCUUUUGAAACUGCGUCCCUUGAGUAUCGGAGG
This 305-nucleotide ribosomal RNA is filed under the name uncultured bacterium. RNAcentral describes it as "bacterial SSU rRNA". It matches the Rfam family "Bacterial small subunit ribosomal RNA", at positions 336 to 655 of the family's 1533-position model. The record is from RNAcentral.